RNAcentral lists this ribosomal RNA (225 nucleotides) under uncultured Pantoea sp. RNAcentral describes it as "partial 16S ribosomal RNA". It matches the Rfam family "Bacterial small subunit ribosomal RNA", at positions 568 to 792 of the family's 1533-position model. Lineage: Bacteria; Pseudomonadati; Pseudomonadota; Gammaproteobacteria; Enterobacterales; Erwiniaceae. The record is from RNAcentral.
CACGCAGGCGGUCUGUUAAGUCAGAUGUGAAAUCCCCGGGCUUAACCUGGGAACUGCAUUUGAAACUGGCAGGCUUGAGUCUCGUAGAGGGGGGUAGAAUUCCAGGUGUAGCGGUGAAAUGCGUAGAGAUCUGGAGGAAUACCGGUGGCGAAGGCGGCCCCCUGGGCCUGCACUGACGCUCAUGCACGAAAGCGUGGGGAGCAAACAGGAUUAGAUACCCCUGUA